RNAcentral lists this transfer RNA (73 nucleotides) under Cordylochernes scorpioides. RNAcentral's name for it is "tRNA-Asn". It matches the Rfam family "tRNA". Rfam says of the family: Transfer RNA (tRNA) molecules are approximately 80 nucleotides in length. The record is from RNAcentral. Lineage: Eukaryota; Metazoa; Arthropoda; Arachnida; Pseudoscorpiones; Chernetidae.
GUCUCCGUGGCGCAAUCGCUAGCGCGUUCGGCUGUUAACCGAAAGGGUUGGGUGUUCGAGCCCACCCGGGACG